Molecule: ribosomal RNA, 2471 nt
Filed under: Listeria monocytogenes
Lineage: Bacteria; Bacillati; Bacillota; Bacilli; Caryophanales; Listeriaceae
Description: partial 23S ribosomal RNA
Rfam family: Bacterial large subunit ribosomal RNA
Source: RNAcentral
UUGGUUAAGUUAGAAAGGGCGCACGGUGGAUGCCUUGGCACUAGGAGCCGAAGAAGGACGGGACUAACACCGAUAUGCUUUGGGGAGCUGUACGUAAGCGUUGAUCCAGAGAUUUCCGAAUGGGGGAACCCACUAUCUUUAGUCGGAUAGUAUCCUUACGUGAAUACAUAGCGUGAGGAAGGCAGACCCAGGGAACUGAAACAUCUAAGUACCUGGAGGAAGAGAAAGAAAAAUCGAUUUCCUGAGUAGCGGCGAGCGAAACGGAAAGAGCCCAAACCAAGAAGCUUGCUUCUUGGGGUUGUAGGACACUCUAUACGGAGUUACAAAAGAAAGUUAUAAAUGAAGCGGUCUGGAAAGGCCCGCCAAAGACGGUAACAGCCCGGUAGUUGAAAUGGCUUUCCCUCCAGAGUGGAUCCUGAGUACGGCGGAACACGUGAAAUUCCGUCGGAAUCCGGGAGGACCAUCUCCCAAGGCUAAAUACUCCCUAGUGACCGAUAGUGAACCAGUACCGUGAGGGAAAGGUGAAAAGCACCCCGGAAGGGGAGUGAAACAGUUCCUGAAACCGUGUGCCUACAAGUAGUUAGAGCCCGUUAAUGGGUGAUAGCGUGCCUUUUGUAGAAUGAACCGGCGAGUUACGAUUUGUUGCAAGGUUAAGCGGAAAAAGCGGAGCCGUAGCGAAAGCGAGUCUGAAUAGGGCGCAUAAGUAACAGGUCGUAGACCCGAAACCAGGUGAUCUACCCAUGUCCAGGAUGAAGGUAAGGUAAUACUUACUGGAGGUCCGAACCCACGCACGUUGAAAAGUGCGGGGAUGAGGUGUGGGUAGCGGAGAAAUUCCAAUCGAACUUGGAGAUAGCUGGUUCUCUCCGAAAUAGCUUUAGGGCUAGCCUCGAGGUAAAGAGUCAUGGAGGUAGAGCACUGUUUGGACUAGGGGCCCUUCUCGGGUUACCGAAUUCAGAUAAACUCCGAAUGCCAUGUACUUAUACUCGGGAGUCAGACUGCGAGUGAUAAGAUCCGUAGUCGAAAGGGAAACAGCCCAGACCACCAGUUAAGGUCCCCAAAUAUAUGUUAAGUGGAAAAGGAUGUGGGGUUGCUUAGACAACCAGGAUGUUGGCUUAGAAGCAGCCACCAUUGAAAGAGUGCGUAAUAGCUCACUGGUCGAGUGACCCCGCGCCGAAAAUGUACCGGGGCUAAACAUAUUACCGAAACUGUGGAUGAACCUCUUUAGAGGUUCGUGGUAGGAGAGCGUUCUAAGGGCGGUGAAGUCAGACCGGAAGGACUGGUGGAGCGCUUAGAAGUGAGAAUGCCGGUAUGAGUAGCGAAAGAAGGGUGAGAAUCCCUUCCACCGAAUAUCUAAGGUUUCCUGAGGAAGGCUCGUCCGCUCAGGGUUAGUCGGGACCUAAGCCGAGGCCGAUAGGCGUAGGCGAUGGACAACAGGUAGAGAUUCCUGUACCAGUGCUAAUUGUUUAACCGAUGGGGUGACACAGAAGGAUAGGGAAUCGCACGAAUGGAAAUGUGCGUCCAAGCAGUGAGUGUGAGAAGUAGGCAAAUCCGCUUCUCGCGAAGCAUGAGCUGUGAUGGGGAAGGAAAUUAAGUACGGAAGUUCCUGAUUUCACGCUGUCAAGAAAAGCCUCUAGGAAGAGUAGUACUGCCCGUACCGCAAACCGACACAGGUAGAUGAGGAGAGAAUCCUAAGGUGAGCGAGAGAACUCUCGUUAAGGAACUCGGCAAAAUGACCCCGUAACUUCGGGAGAAGGGGUGCUCUAUUAGGGUGCAAGCCCGAGAGAGCCGCAGUGAAUAGGCCCAGGCGACUGUUUAGCAAAAACACAGGUCUCUGCAAAACCGUAAGGUGACGUAUAGGGGCUGACGCCUGCCCGGUGCUGGAAGGUUAAGAGGAGUGCUUAGCUUCGGCGAAGGUACGAAUUGAAGCCCCAGUAAACGGCGGCCGUAACUAUAACGGUCCUAAGGUAGCGAAAUUCCUUGUCGGGUAAGUUCCGACCCGCACGAAAGGCGCAACGAUCUGGGCACUGUCUCAACGAGAGACUCGGUGAAAUUAUAGUACCUGUGAAGAUGCAGGUUACCCGCGACAGGACGGAAAGACCCCGUGGAGCUUUACUGCAACCUGAUAUGGAAUGUUUGUACCGCUUGUACAGGAUAGGUAGGAGCCGAAGAGACGUGUGCGCUAGCAUACGAGGAGGCAAUGGUGGGAUACUACCCUGGCUGUAUGACCAUUCUAACCCGCCACGCUUAGCGCGUGGGGAGACAGUGUCAGGUGGGCAGUUUGACUGGGGCGGUCGCCUCCUAAAGAGUAACGGAGGCGCCCAAAGGUUCCCUCAGAAUGGAUGGAAAUCAUUCGCAGAGUGUAAAGGCACAAGGGAGCUUGACUGCGAGACUGACAAGUCGAGCAGGGACGAAAGUCGGGCUUAGUGAUCCGGUGGUUCCGCAUGGAAGGGCCAUCGCUCAACGGAUAAAAG